Long non-coding RNA from Drosophila grimshawi, 465 nucleotides. RefSeq lists it as uncharacterized. Lineage: Eukaryota; Metazoa; Arthropoda; Insecta; Diptera; Drosophilidae. The record is from RefSeq and is a predicted model, not a curated record. The transcript has 2 exons.
AGUCUAACACCGGCAUUCAAAGCUUUCGCAACUCUGUUCUCCAAAUUCAUAGAGACUUAAAACCUUUGGAGUUUUUCCUAUUUUCGUGUAGACCGUUUCCUCUCCUUGCAUAAUCAAAAUGUGUCAAUGGCCUUGCUAUCCCGCUGCCUGCAUUGGAUCAUGUGGUGGCUGCCCCCCAAGUGGCUUCUUUGAUCCUAGCUUUGGAUCACUUGCCGGUCCAUGCCACGGCUUGGGUGGCUCCUGUUAUGGAUGCUGGGGUGGAUGUUGCUGACACCGUAAUCACCACUGUCUCUUAUAUAAGCAAGCAUGACGAACCUGAGACUGGCCUACAGAAGAAAUAUAGGGAAACUUCCAAGGGGGGACUAGCAUAUUAAUUUCUUAUGUACCAGGCAGCGAUCCGUUAUCUUAACAGCUAUUGUUGCAAUAUAGAAUUUAUGUUUGAACAAAAUAAACCAUAAAAUGUAA